UGUUCUUCUGAAAUCCGAACUGAUUUUGGUGAAUUAGGUGGUUAUGGUUUAGAUGAAGGACGAGUCUAUUAUAUAUAAGUUUUUCGAGAAUUUUGGACAUGAAUGGCAAAUUACUGAUAGGUCUGUAGUUAUUUACAAGUUGCGAGUCCCCACUUUUAUAGAUGGGUUUAAUCACGUUUUUUUGAAAAUGCUCGGAAAUAUCCCCAAGGACAAACAGCUGUUGAAAAGAUGGACAAUUGCCUGGAGUAUAACCUUAUAAGAUAACUUGAAUAUUUUUAAAUUAAUAUUGUCGACUCCAGCUCCGACGUUGUUCAGACCAUCCAUAACAAGAAUUAAUUCCUGUUCAUUAGUGGGGGGGCAGAUCCGUUUCAUUUUCUACAUCUGUGAUGAGCUGGAGGGGGUAGAACGAUGAUUUAGGAAUCUUGUCUUUUAACUAUUAUCCAAUCUCACUAAAGAAGUGGUUAAAUGAUUCUGCGAUAUCCGGAGCGUCUGAUAAUUUUAUCAUCAGUUCCAGUAAUCCUGGUUGGAUCUACAUCUUUUUGUUUUGAAUUGAUGAGUGCGUAAUGUUUUCCAUGUUUCCUUGGAGUUGCCAGAAUGUUUACUGAAUUAAUCAUUGUAGUAUUUCUUUUUGGCUACCCUAAGAGAUAUAGUUAGAAUGAUACAGUAAGAAGUGUAUGUUGCAUUAUUUUCAAGACUGGGAUUCUUCAAUUUCUGUUCAAACAGCUUACUUUUAUGUGUAAUUGAUAGAAGAAGUGCAGGUGACACCCAUGGUUUGCGUGAGCUGGUUUUUCGAGAAAUGUGCCUUGUGUGAGAAAACCUGGUGAUCCUGGCAAUGUAAGCAUACACAAUUUGAUUUGCAACAGCACCAGGUUCUGGCUCAUUUUCAAUAUAAACAAGGUGAUCAACAAGGAAUUGUUUAAAUUCUUCCAGCGAUCUAUAAUCAAAUGUGGUAAUAGGUGCUCUACCAUCAAGGGAGUGUGGGUGUGAGGCAUAACUCAUGGAAGCAAAAAUAGGGAACUGAUCAGACAAAUCAUGAAGGAGAAUGCCUGUAUGCAUCACUUUUGAUAAGACAUUGCAAAAUAUGUUAUCUAGAAGAGUACAUGAUGGAUAGCAAGAUCGAGUUGUCCUGGAUAUUUUAGGAAAGAAGCCAUUUGAACACAUGUUAGUGAAAAGUGCUUGCACAUUAGGAUUUAUAUCAAGUGAGAACAGAUCAAAGUUGAAAUGACCAGCAAUAAAUGUCACUUUGUUCAUUUUUUAAAGCCAAAUUAGGCAUUGUUCUAGCUCUGAGUUGAAGUGGUGUUUGUCAGUGCUGGGCACUAUCACAGGGUAGUUCAGCACAAACCACUUUAGCUGUAGAGAAAACUGGAUUGUUAAGUUGUGUAGGAUGAAGAUGAUCAGCAAUGUGUACUGCUGAUCCACCACCUACCCCUUUUGAUCUGCUGCAGUAGAAACCUUGGUACCCAGGUAAGUCAUAAUGAAUUCCAAAGCCGCAGACAGCCAUGUCUCAGAUAUAGAAAUUACAUGCCAUGUUAUAUCAGUCUGGGCAAGCAGACUACUUAAAUCAUCCUGCUUCUUCAGGAUUGAGGGAAUGUUAACAUGUAUAAGGUUUAGUGCACUGAUGUUGUGUGGAAUAACAGUUUUUACCUGAUCAGGUAAGUAGAAUGUGCAUGCUUCUCUUAGUUUUUCAUGAUCAUCACAUGAUAGUGAAGGAUCACUACCAUCCAUGUUUGAAGCAAAUGGAUUAAACACCUUAUUAUUUGGGGUUGAACCCAUAUAGUAAGGUGUUGAUGGAAAAGAAGGUAAGGAAAAGUGGAUGAUCUAGAAUACAGGUCAUAGAGGGAGUUCAGAAAAGGGAGAUUUUAAUCAUUAUCAAAUCAGAGAUUUUAAUCAUUUUAAGAUGUUUUUCAAUAUGAUGCUCAAGACUUCAAAAUGAGAAAGCAUAUGUUGAAUGAUAAAUGCCAAAAACAGGUUGUGUUGAUAGGACUUUUCUGCUAGUCACAGCUUUAGCAUGCAGACACAACAUGAGAACAUGGGCAGUGAGCUUGAUAAGUACCUAGAAUAAACAAGCACAUUAUUAUGAGGGGCAUAAGCCACCAAGCCAGGCACCACUGGCAAAUUCCUCUACUAGAAAUACUAGAAAUAAGGCAUUAUAAUACAGUAAGCUGUAUGUACACCACACCCAUUGUCACAUGCAAGUUCUCAAGAAGAUCAUAAAUGUAUGGGUAGUUAACUGAGGAAUGUGCCAGUGGUAGCCUAGCCAGGUGACAUCAUUAACCAAUGGACUCACUACUUUUUAGAACUUGAGAGUCUGGUCUCAGGUCGGGCCUGCCUGCCUUCAACUGUUACAAACUCCUCAAGAUUAGCAGCUCUGUUUAGCACAUGACCAGCAAGAAUGUGGUUCAGGGUCUGAGGGUAUAUGAACCUAUUCUGGCCUGCUACGCUUCUGUUUGCCGAAGGGGAUAGUAUAGGUGAGUCUGUCAUGGCUUUAAUGAUCUGCUCGCGUGUGAACCAUGGCCGUAUGCAUGCAUAUCUUUUGUCACAUGAGCUCCUUGCCAGAAUGAUGCUGUUUUUGGUGUGGAAGUUCAUGACCUGGUCAUUUUCAUGCUUCAUAUCGGCAGGAACCUUGACUUGUCAAUUUCGCUUAUCAGUGAGGUUUUCAUGAAUGAUGGUGCCUGGAUCGUCAGUCUGCCGGAAUUUAGCCUGGUAAACAUUGUUCCGACCAUCCAUGUCCUGAAAUUUCACCAGCACCCUUUUUUUGUUUUUUUCAGAUGGUGGCACGGCACCACUCCACCCUUCACGUCUACCUUGAGUUUUCUUUGAUGACCUUGCGGGCAACACUUCUGGUCCCCUCAGUGGUCUCAUCUGCCAUUGGCUCAGGGAUACCAUCUCCACUCAGAAUGAGAGAAGACUUCCGCCAGUAUUGCCUCGUCUCAUCGACAGCAGCCUCCAGAUGUUUAACCGUUUCACGAAGCUCAGAGUUUUCCCGUUUCAGUUUCUGAGUUUCAUCUCUCAAGGAAGCUAUCUCACGUUUAAAUAGCUCCAUUUAUUUUCCCACUGCCUCAGCUACGAGAUCCUUGAUCUGUUCCAUCUCCUCUCUGAACCCCCGAAUGAACUGUUUGGUUAAGUUACGUUAGAUUUAACUAUUUCACAUGAAAAAGUGGCGAAGUACACCUACUUAAUUACAUGCAAAGAGAGCAAAGAAAUUACCUGAAGAUAUAUGUUACCUCUAGUACAAACCCUGCCUAAAUCACUGAGUUUCGUUCGAACCAGAUGGUUGACACUGGCCGCUCGCCGGCUCCGAGCUUAUAUCUUCACCGAGACUCCCAGCAGGGCUCUCAGGGACCUCGUCUAGUGCGUGGUUGGCCACUAUGUGCGUGUGUGGCCCUCCAUUCGACAGAACGGCAGCUGUGACGUGGGCUCACGCAAUCUGUUCCGAAGCAUCGCGCUGCUCCGUGAGCUGCCGCAGCGCACACGGACCACGGUGCAGUCAGCCAUCCAGCGCAACGGGUACUGGGCCCAUCCGGAACAGCUGCUGCUGGCCGUGGUGGCGGACGGGGACCGUGUGGUUCGCGAACAGGCGGUUCAAAUCAUCAGCGCCGCGCGCGAGCAGCCAACCGAGGGCCCCAGAAUUUUCGCAGACGAUCAACUUCGAGGCUGUGAGCUACACGGAGCUGAUCUCCUGGCGCGAACCAGUCGCGCAACCCCCACUCCUACGAGACCUCAGCGACGGCGUGCUGCGAAGCAUAGUGCACGCUCCAUUGCCCAUCCCGCCUUAUCCGGUUCAUACCCAUGCGGUGGAGAGGGCCGUGCGCACCGUCACCGAGGCAUGUUCGGCGGUGAUUGGAGAAGAGGCGCGGCAUGGCCUCAUCGCGGCCAAGCUCAUGCACCAACAUAUUCUCCCCACCGCCAACUCUAAGAAAAAUCUGCUCUGAAGGUGGUCGUAGUAGCAGGCCCCAGUAUGGCAGCCGCCGCCGCCGCAUCAUUGCGUCCGCCCGCUGCGCAGAUGCAGGACAGUCUUUCGAGUGGAGUGACCAAGGGGCGCACCGCUGGACCAGCACUCGGCGCUCCUACAAGCUGCACGUACUGUGUCUCUGCCUUCUGAUUCAGCAGCACGACGGCAGAAACGUUUAAGACGUGCAGCCCGCAGAAUAGAGACGGCACCGCCGCAGGUCAACCAGCCUGGCAGGGGCUAGUGCAGCAGUGCCCGGGCACGCGCCGCAGAGCAGAGUGGGGCCAGCGCCGCACAGCCGAGAACAUCUGCGGCUGAGGCUGGGGCUUCGGCAAUAGGGCAGCCCGGUUGUGAAGGUACUUUGGCUAUUGUGCGACCUCCGCCAACACGCGUUACGGGUUUCCGGUUUCGCAGCAGCUGCUGUUUCAGCCAGCGCACCGAAUACGCAUGCUCGGUCAGGAGCAAGGUGUGUGUACGGUUGUCCUUACACCUCUCCAUGCCCGUGGUGCAGACUGCAGACAUUGGUGUUUGAAGUUGUA
Molecule: long non-coding RNA, 4488 nt
Organism: Pollicipes pollicipes
Lineage: Eukaryota; Metazoa; Arthropoda; Thecostraca; Pollicipedomorpha; Pollicipedidae
Exons: 3
Source: RefSeq, a predicted model, not a curated record